Molecule: ribosomal RNA, 251 nt
Filed under: uncultured prokaryote
Description: partial 16S rRNA
Rfam family: Bacterial small subunit ribosomal RNA
Source: RNAcentral
ACGGAGGGUGCAAGCGUUGUUCGGAAUUACUGGGCGUAAAGCGCGUGUAGGCGGCCUAGCAAGUCAGACGUGAAAGCCCUCGGCUUAACCGGGGAAGUGCGCCUGAAACUGCUAGGCUUGAGUACGGGAGAGGGAGGCGGAAUUCCCAGUGUAGAGGUGAAAUUCGUAGAUAUUGGGAGGAACACCGGUGGCGAAAGCGGCCUCCUGGACCGAUACUGACGCUGAGACGCGAGAGCGUGGGUAGCAAACAG